Molecule: ribosomal RNA, 408 nt
Filed under: uncultured bacterium
Lineage: Bacteria
Description: bacterial SSU rRNA
Rfam family: Bacterial small subunit ribosomal RNA
Source: RNAcentral
AACGAACGCUGGCGGCAGGCUUAACACAUGCAAGUCGAACGGGUGUAGCAAUACAUCAGUGGCAGACGGGUGAGUAACACGUGGGAACCUUCCUAGGGGUACGGAACAACUCAGGGAAACUUGAGCUAAUACCGUAUACGUCCGUGAGGAGAAAGAUUUAUCGCCCUUAGACGGGCCCGCGUCGGAUUAGGUAGUUGGUGGGGUAACGGCCUACCAAGCCUACGAUCCGUAGCUGAUCUUAGAGGAUGAUCAGCCACACUGGGACUGAGACACGGCCCAGACUCCUACGGGAGGCAGCAGUGGGGAAUCUUGGACAAUGGGCGCAAGCCUGAUCCAGCCAUGCCGCGUGAGUGAAGAAGGCCUUAGGGUUGUAAAGCUCUUUUACCAGGGACGAUAAUGACGGUACCU